Molecule: long non-coding RNA, 411 nt
Filed under: Coturnix japonica (Japanese quail)
Lineage: Eukaryota; Metazoa; Chordata; Aves; Galliformes; Phasianidae
Description: lncRNA (ENSCJPG00005008958.1)
Source: RNAcentral
AAGGGAGGAGAAGAAUGAAUGAGAUACUCCUCACUCUGGCACAGCUUGCAAGAGAAACACAAAGAGGCUCCAAACUAAAUGGAGUGCAGCACUCGGGAACCAUGAGUGGAGGUCAGGAUGAGGUCACCAAUGAAGGAUGGGGAACAUCCAGAAAGAGGCUGCAAAUACUGCAGUUUUACAGCAUUCCCAGGUUGCCCGGCCCUGAAUCUCAGGCCUCAUUCAGAGCCACACGCUGCCCUUUCCUCAUCAGCUGAGCAAAACAAGAGCAGAAAUCCUUCUUAUCUCUGCUACAUAAACAUCAGGAAUACAUGGUGCAUGGCCCUUGGCUCCCUGUUGCAAUUCCUCCUGGAGCAGGGAGGCUGAGGUGCCCCGUGGCUGUUGCAAUCCACAUGGGUGACUUUUGGAAAGGCA